This 889-nucleotide long non-coding RNA is filed under the name Homo sapiens (human). RNAcentral's name for it is "non-protein coding LINC00458:21". The record is from RNAcentral. Lineage: Eukaryota; Metazoa; Chordata; Mammalia; Primates; Hominidae.
AGACGGCCCUAUCCCUGUCUCCCUUGGCUGACUCUCUUUUCGGACUCAGCCCGCCUGCACCCAGGUGAAAUAAACAGCCUUGUUGCUCACACAAAGCCUGUUUGGUGGUCUCUUCACACAAACGCGCAUGAAAUUUGGUGCCAUGACUCGGAUCGGGGUACCUCCCUUGGGAGAUCAAUCCCCAGUCCUCCUGCUCUUUGCUCCGUGAGAAAGAUCUACCUAGGACCUCAGGUCCUCAGACUGACCAGCCCAAGGAACAUCUCACCAAUUUCAAAUCUGGAACGCGCAUGAAAAAACCAAACAAACAAAAAAAUUUCUUUUGGUAGCAGAAUAAAAAAACAAAAAAAAGGACUUUUUCUUCUGGACUGAACUAUAUUUAAAUCUCAAAGGAUGGACAUCUCACAACCUUCCUACAGCAAGUACUGUGAGAGCUGCAUCUUGUCCCACUGGAUGGUCUUCAGAGACAAUAAUACAUAAUGGAGCUGUCAUCUCCUAUGAUAACAAUGCCUUCUUCUGGAUACCUCCUGAAGGACCUGCCUGAGGCUCUUUCACUGUUAGUUUUUUUUUAAUAAGUAGAAGGAUUACACUCUAAAAUAAUAAGUGUAGUAUAGUAAAUGUAUAAACCAGUAACAUAAUGGUUUAUUAUCAUUAUCAAGUAUUACAUACUGUACAAAAUUAUAUGUGCUACAAUUUUAUGUGACUGGCAGCACAGUAGGUUUGUUUAUACCAGCAUCACCACAAACACGUGAGUAAUAUGACACACCAUGAUAUUCUGACAACCAUGACAUCACUAGGCCAGGGAAUUUUUUAGGUCCAUUAUCAUCAUAGGCGACCACAGUUGUAUAUGUGAUGUGGUCUGUCAUUGACUAAAAUCUCAUUAUGACUGUAC